AUACGGAGGGUGCAAGCGUUAUUCGGAAUCACUGGACGUAAAGGACGCGUAGGCGGGUUGGCAAGUCAGAUGUGAAAUCCUACAGCUUAACUGUAGAACUGCAUUUGAAACUGCUAACCUAGAGUAUGGGAGGGGGAGAUGGAAUUAGUGGUGUAGGGGUAAAAUCCGUAGAUAUCACUAGGAAUACCGAAAGCGAAGGCGAUCUCCUGGAACAUAACUGACGCUAAGGCGUGAAAGCGCGGGGAGCAAACAGGAUUAGAAACCCUAGUAGUCC
This 274-nucleotide ribosomal RNA is filed under the name uncultured bacterium. Its description in RNAcentral is "partial 16S ribosomal RNA". It matches the Rfam family "Bacterial small subunit ribosomal RNA", at positions 523 to 796 of the family's 1533-position model. The record is from RNAcentral.